Molecule: non-coding RNA, 2741 nt
Organism: Podarcis lilfordi (Lilford's wall lizard)
Lineage: Eukaryota; Metazoa; Chordata; Lepidosauria; Squamata; Lacertidae
Source: the annotation of a GenBank genome assembly
GAAUGUGUUGGCCUAGUGUGGGGCUCCGAGGAGAGCUUGGCUGUCUGGCUGGUGUACCGGCCACCUAGCGCACCAGCAGCCACCCUGUCAGGCCUAUUGGAGGCGGUGGCCGGCUGGGCCUUGGAGUUCCCUAACCUAUUGGUAUUGGGGGACUUUAACAUCCAUGCUGAUGCCACUCCCUCCUCACAGGCUCUGGACCUGGUGUCUUCCAUGGCGACACUAGGGCUCUCCCAGUUUGUUUCGGGCCCCACACAUCAAGCAGGCCACACGCUGGAUUUGAUCUUUGGCGUAGGUAUAGAUGUGAUCAUGUCUCCUUCGAUGAAGGUGCCAUGGUCUGAUCACUACGCUCUGAAAGCCAGGAUUGACUUUCCACCCCCACCCUGCUUAGGUGGCGAGCCGAUUUGGGCUCGCCCGCAGAGGCUGAUGGACCCUGAUAGAUUCCGCCAAGCCUUGCGGGACCUUGCUCCCCUGGCGACUCAUUGACUGAGCUUGUUGAGGGCUGGAAUACCCAGCUCCUGGCAGCCAUCGAUGAGAUCGCACCUAAGCGCCCUCUGCGACCCCGCAGAAACCGGGCUCCCUGGUUUACCGAGGAGCUCCGGAAAAUGAAGCGGGACCUCAGACGGCUAGAGCGAGUAUGGCGGGGUGCCCGUGACGGAGCCUCAAGAACAUCUUAUAGGGCUUUUAUGAAAACCUACGAGAUGGCGGUGAAGGCUGCUAAGAAGUCAUACUUCUCGGCCUCCAUUGCAUCCGCAAGCUCUCGCCCGGCGCAAUUAUUUAGUAUAAUCAGGUCUUUAACGUCCCUUGAGGGACAGCCAAAUUUAAAUAACAAUUUGACACACAGCUGUGAGGCAUUUGCGAGCUUUUUGCGGAGAAGGUCUUGUUGCUCCGCCAUGACCUCCCGGCCAAUUUGGAUACAAUAAAGGAACUGGAGGCCCCUCGACUGUCCUCGGGUCCAGUAUUGGACCACUUCGACCGGAUAUCCCCAGCCGAUGUGGACAGACUCCUCCGAGCUGGAAAGCCCACCACCUGUCCUCUCGACCCGUGCCCGUCUUGGCUGAUUAGAGCGUGUCCAGACGAGGUGCGGGCCCUCCUGGGGGAUAUCAUCAAUUUGUCCCUUGGCACGGGGACAUUCCCAGGGGAACUGAAGGAGGCAGUGGUGCGCCCGCUCUUAAAGAAAACAUCAUUAGAUCCUUUAGAUCUAUCCAAUUACCGCCCGGUUUCGAAUCUUCCGUUCCUGGGUAAGGUGAUUGAGAGAGCGGUUGCUGAACAGCUUGGUGGUUUUCUGGAUGAAACAUCAGCUCUGGAUCCAUUCCAGUCCGGCUUCCGCACUGGUCAUGGGACCGAGACGGCUCUGGUUGCCCUAACAGAUGAUCUUCGUAGACAGCUGGAUCGAGGCGGGUCGGGGCUGCUGAUUCUUCUAGAUCUGUCAGCAGCUUUCGACAUGGUCGAUCACGAACUUCUAGACCACCGCCUUGCCGACGUGGGGAUCCAGGGCACAGUCCUUCAAUGGCUGCGCUCGUUUCUCUCUGGUCGGGGACAGAGGGUGGCGCUUGGGGGGGAAUUGUCAUCGCGCCACUCCUUGGUGUGUGGAGUACCUCAGGGUGCGAUACUCUCCCGAUGCUUUUCAACAUCUUUAUGCGCCCCCUCGCCCAGCUUGUUCGGAGUUUUGGGCUGGGUUGCCAUCAGUAUGCCGAUGACACCCAACUCUAUCUGUUGAUGGAUGGCCAUCCUGACUCGGCCCCAGACACACUGACUAGAUGUUUGAAAGCUGUGGCUGGAUGGUUUCGUGGGAGCCGGUUGAAGCUAAAUCCUUCGAAGACAGAGGUCCUGUGGCUGGGACGGGGCGAUAUGGGAUUGGGGGGGCAACUCCCAUCUCUUGCGGGGGCGCAAUUAGUGCCAGCACCGUCCGUUAAGAGUUUGGGUGUAAUCUUCGACACCUCCCUUUCCAUGGAGGCGCAGAUUGCAGCUAUAACAAAGGCGGCAUUUUUCCAUCUCCGCCAAGCUAAGCAGUUGGCUCCUUACCUCUCUCGCCCUGACCUAGCCACUGUGAUCCAUGCGACGGUCACCUCCAGACUGGAUUAUUGUAACUCGCUCUACGUGGGGCUGCCCCUGAGACUGACCCAGAAACUCCAGCGGGUGCAGAAUGCUGCAGCGAGAUUCCUUACGAGGUCUUCGCUGCGAGAUCACAUUCACCCGGUGCUAUACCAGCUGCACUGGCUCCCGGUGGAGUACAGGAUCAGGUUUAAGGUGCUGGUUUUAACCUUUAAAGCCCUAUACGGCCUAGGACCCUCGUACCUACGGGACCGCCUCUCCUGGUAUGCCCCACAGAGAAACUUACGGUCUUCGAAUAAAAACAUCUUGAAGGUCCCAGGCCCCAGAGAAGUUAGGCUGGCCUCAACUAGAGCCAGGGCUUUUUCGGCUGUGGCUCCGAUCUGGUGGAACACUCUGUCACAAGAGACCAGGGCCCUGUGGGACUUGACAUCUUUCCGCAGGGCCUGCAAGACAGAGCUGUUCCACCAGGCCUUUGGCCAGGGCACAGCCUGACUCCCUCCCUCGGCAAUCUUCGCGGAGCUCUGGCCCAAUGGUUGCCAGUGGCUUGAAUUAAUUAAUUUUAUAACGAAUGAUUUUAGACUGUUGUUUAUGCUGUACUUUUGUACUGUUUUAUUGUUGUUAGCCGCCCUGAGCCCGGCUUCGGCUGGGGAGGGCGGGAUAUAAAUAAAAUUUAUUAUUAUUAUUAUUAU